This 337-nucleotide small RNA is filed under the name Pan troglodytes (chimpanzee). RNAcentral describes it as "retained intron". The record is from RNAcentral. Lineage: Eukaryota; Metazoa; Chordata; Mammalia; Primates; Hominidae.
AUCAAACAUUAUCUAUGUGGCCAGCAAUCAUUUUGUUUGGAGACUCAUCCCUGUCCCCAUGGCAACCCAAAUCCAACAACUUCUCCAGGACAAGCAGUUUGAAUUGGCUCUGCAGCUCGCAGAAAUGAAAGAUGAUUCUGACAGUGAAAAGCAGCAACAAAUUCAUCACAUCAAGAACUUGUAUGCCUUCAACCUCUUCUGCCAGAAGCGUUUUGAUGAGUCCAUGCAGGUCUUUGCUAAACUUGGCACAGGUAACAAGUGGUGAGGCCUUUAUAUAAGGAACUAAUGGAGGAGGGGAGCCUGAAAAGUAUGGGGAGAAAUGAUAACAGACUUCUGA